CGCAUCUGUGCAUGCAGCAUAUCAAUAAGCGGAGGAAAAGAAACUAACAAGGAUUCCCUCAGUAACGGCGAGUGAAGCGGGAAGAGCUCAAAUUUGAAAUCUUGAAAGGUCACCUUUCACGAAUUGUAGUUUAAAGAAGUGUUUUCUGUUACGAUCGUAAUAUAAGUUCUUUGGAAUAGGACAUCACAGAGGGUGAGAAUCCCGUCUAUGAUUGCGAUUUGUAGCUUUGUGAUACACUUUCAAAGAGUCGGGUUGUUUGGGAAUGCAGCCCAAAACGGGAGGUAAAUUUCUUCUAAGGCUAAAUAUUGGCGAGAGACCGAUAGCGAACAAGUACCGUGAGGGAAAGAUGAAAAGAACUUUGAAAAGAGAGUUAAACAGUACGUGAAAUUGUCAAAAGGGAAGCGUUUGACACCAGUGUUGUUUUUCUGAAAAUCAAUUAAAGAACUGUUUAUGCUAAGCUGUUUAGACUUUAUCAGCUAAUCUGUUUAGUUUUGAGCUUUUCUUUAAUGCACUUUUCAGUUAACAAGUCAACAUCAAUUUCUUUUGCUGUAAAAAAGCUUGAGGAAGGUGGCUUGAGAUUCGUCUUAAGUGUUUAUAGCCUCUUGCCUAUGCAGUCGGAGAGAUUGAGGUCUGCAGCGUAGAUCCUUCGGGGCUAAAUGCAUUUGUGCUAAGUUAUAGCUUUUAUAGACAACUUGUUGACUAUAAUUAGUCUUGUAGCUUACUCGCUUAUGUUAUUUUACCUACGCUUAGGAUGUUGACGAUCAGCUGAGCGCG
This 774-nucleotide ribosomal RNA is filed under the name uncultured Neocallimastigales. RNAcentral describes it as "partial large subunit ribosomal RNA". It matches the Rfam family "Eukaryotic large subunit ribosomal RNA", at positions 26 to 636 of the family's 3401-position model. The record is from RNAcentral. Lineage: Eukaryota; Fungi; Neocallimastigomycota; Neocallimastigomycetes; Neocallimastigales.